AUUGAACGCUGGCGGCAUGCCUUACACAUGCAAGUCGAACGGUAACAGGUCUUCGGAUGCUGACGAGUGGCGAACGGGUGAGUAAUACAUCGGAACGUGCCCGAUCGUGGGGGAUAACGGAGCGAAAGCUUUGCUAAUACCGCAUACGAUCUACGGAUGAAAGCAGGGGACCGCAAGGCCUUGCGCGGACGGAGCGGCCGAUGGCAGAUUAGGUAGUUGGUGGGAUAAAAGCUUACCAAGCCGACGAUCUGUAGCUGGUCUGAGAGGACGACCAGCCACACUGGGACUGAGACACGGCCCAGACUCCUACGGGAGGCAGCAGUGGGGAAUUUUGGACAAUGGGCGCAAGCCUGAUCCAGCCAUGCCGCGUGCAGGAUGAAGGCCUUCGGGUUGUAAACUGCUUUUGUACGGAACGAAAAGGUCUUUUCUAAUAAAGAAGACUGAUGACGGUACCGUAAGAAUAAGCACCGGCUAACUACGUGCCAGCCGCCGCGGUAA
RNAcentral lists this ribosomal RNA (498 nucleotides) under uncultured bacterium. Its description in RNAcentral is "partial 16S ribosomal RNA". It matches the Rfam family "Bacterial small subunit ribosomal RNA", at positions 30 to 523 of the family's 1533-position model. The record is from RNAcentral.